UGAGUGGCGAACUGGUGAGUAACACGUGGGAAACCUGCCCAGAAGCGGGGGAUAACACCUGGAAACAGAUGCUAAUACCGCAUAACAACUUGGACCGCAUGGUCCGAGUUUGAAAGAUGGCUUCGGCUAUCACUUUUGGAUGGUCCCGCGGCGUAUUAGCUAGAUGGUGRGGUAACGGCUCACCAUGGCAAUGAUACGUAGCCGACCUGAGAGGGUAAUCGGCCACAUUGGGACUGAGACACGGCCCAAACUCCUACGGGAGGCAGCAGUAGGGAAUCUUCCACAAUGGACGAAAGUCUGAUGGAGCAACGCCGCGUGAGUGAAGAAGGGUUUCGGCUCGUAAAACUCUGUUGUUAAAGAAGAACAUAUCUGAGAGUAACUGUUCAGGUAUUGACGGUAUUUAACCAGAAAGCCACGGCUAACUACGUGCCAGCAGCCGCGGUAAUACGUAGGUGGCAAGCGUUGUCCGGAUUUAUUGGGCGUAAAGCGAGCGCAGGCGGUUUUUUAAGUCUGAUGUGAAAGCCUUCGGCUCAACCGAAGAAGUGCAUCGGAAACUGGGAAACUUGAGUGCAGAAGAGGACAGUGGAACUCCAUGUGUAGCGGUGAAAUGCGUAGAUAUAUGGAAGAACACCAGUGGCGAAGGCGGCUGUCUGGUCUGUAACUGACGCUGAGGCUCGAAAGUAUGGGUAGCAAACAGGAUUAGAUACCCUGGUAGUCCAUACCGUAAACGAUGAAUGCUAAGUGUUGGAGGGUUUCCGCCCUUCAGUGCUGCAGCUAACGCAUUAAGCAUUCCGCCUGGGGAGUACGGCCGCAAGGCUGAAACUCAAAGGAAUUGACGGGGGCCCGCACAAGCGGUGGAGCAUGUGGUUUAAUUCGAAGCUACGCGAAGAACCUUACCAGGUCUUGACAUACUAUGCAAAUCUAAGAGAUUAGACGUUCCCUUCGGGGACAUGGAUACAGGUGGUGCAUGGUUGUCGUCAGCUCGUGUCGUGAGAUGUUGGGUUAAGUCCCGCAACGAGCGCAACCCUUAUUAUCAGUUGCCAGCAUUAAGUUGGGCACUCUGGUGAGACUGCCGGUGACAAACCGGAGGAAGGUGGGGAUGACGUCAAAUCAUCAUGCCCCUUAUGACCUGGGCUACACACGUGCUACAAUGGAUGGUACAACGAGUUGCGAACUCGCGAGAGUAAGCUAAUCUCUUAAAGCCAUUCUCAGUUCGGAUUGUAGGCUGCAACUCGCCUACAUGAAGUCGGAAUCGCUAGUAAUCGCGGAUCAGCAUGCCGCGGUGAAUACGUUCCCGGGCCUUGUACACACCGCCCGUC
RNAcentral lists this ribosomal RNA (1319 nucleotides) under Lactiplantibacillus pentosus. RNAcentral describes it as "bacterial SSU rRNA". Lineage: Bacteria; Bacillati; Bacillota; Bacilli; Lactobacillales; Lactobacillaceae. The record is from RNAcentral.